RNAcentral lists this ribosomal RNA (429 nucleotides) under Chloroflexota bacterium. RNAcentral describes it as "Chloroflexi bacterium partial 16S ribosomal RNA". It matches the Rfam family "Bacterial small subunit ribosomal RNA", at positions 355 to 776 of the family's 1533-position model. Lineage: Bacteria; Bacillati; Chloroflexota. The record is from RNAcentral.
UGGGGAAUAUUGCACAAUGGGCGCAAGCCUGAUGCAGCCAUGCCGCGUGUGUGAAGAAGGCCUUCGGGUUGUAAAGCACUUUCAGCGGGGAGGAAGGCGUUAAGGUUAAUAACCUUGGCGAUUGACGUUACCCGCAGAAGAAGCACCGGCUAACUCCGUGCCAGCAGCCGCGGUCAUACGGAGGGUGCAAGCGUUAAUCGGAAUUACUGGGCGUAAAGCGCACGCAGGCGGUCUGUCAAGUCGGAUGUGAAAUCCCCGGGCUCAACCUGGGAACUGCAUUCGAAACUGGCAGGCUAGAGGCUUGUAGAGGGAAGUAGAAUUCCAGGUGUAGCGGUGAAAUGCGUAGAGAUCUGGAGGAAUACCGGUGGCGAAGGCGGCCCACUGGACAAAGACUGACGCUCAGGUGCGAAAGCGUGGGGAGCGAACAGG